RNAcentral lists this ribosomal RNA (253 nucleotides) under uncultured bacterium. RNAcentral describes it as "partial 16S ribosomal RNA". It matches the Rfam family "Bacterial small subunit ribosomal RNA", at positions 524 to 776 of the family's 1533-position model. The record is from RNAcentral.
UACAGAGGUCUCAAGCGUUGUUCGGAUUCAUUGGGCGUAAAGGGUGCGUAGGCGGCGCGGUAAGUCGGGUGUGAAAUCUUGGAGCUUAACUCCGAAACUGCAUUCGAUACUGCCGUGCUUGAGGACUGGAGAGGAGACUGGAAUUUACGGUGUAGCGGUGAAAUGCGUAGAUAUCGUAAGGAAGAUCAGUGGCGAAGGCGGGUCUCUGGACAGUUCCUGACGCUGAGGCACGAAGGCCAGGGGAGCAAACGGG